RNAcentral lists this long non-coding RNA (718 nucleotides) under Nicotiana benthamiana. RNAcentral describes it as "long non-coding RNA (NBEN_LNC038509)". Lineage: Eukaryota; Viridiplantae; Streptophyta; Magnoliopsida; Solanales; Solanaceae. The record is from RNAcentral.
UCCCAUAAGACCUUCCCCAGAUUCGACAUCCUUGGCUCCUACGAACAGCUUCCCCAACUCGCAAAGUCCCAGCAACAGGUAUGCUCUGGCGAGAUAUCCACUUUCAACCCCUUUAACCUCUUGGCAAUCUUCAACCCUUUUGAGAAACUUUCUUUCUAGUUCCACUAUGCCUCACUCCAAGUAUCCCAGUCUUUUGUUGGCAUUGGUAGCCAUGUCUUUCCAUUUCUUGAUCAUCUUCUGGUUGGACUCUUGUACUUCGCGAUGUUCACUAUUGCACUCGCGAAUCCCUUUUGUGCAACUGAUUGCACUUUAAUUAUUCUUUGACCUUCUCUUCCAUAAUCCUGUGGCCUCAAACAAACCCCGGCUGGCCCAAACCAUCAUGACUGUCUUCCAACCAACCUGAAUAGAAAGGAGUACAAUCGGCAUGGUAUCUGUCUAGCUCUAUGGAGUCUCUUCCCAUUAAGAUCUUGCUAUGCCACAUAUGUUGGGCUUGGCACUUGUAAGGACUAUCAUCGCCUUGGAAGUCGGCUAAAAAAGUAGCUCAUCUUGUUGACUCUGGGUAUGAGUUGCUUCCUACCAGCUUGCCUCAUAGCUCGUAGAGGGAUGUAAGGGUAGGUUCCGCUGAGACCAAUUAGUAUCAGAAUAGGUACAUCUCUGGAUCGAGCGAUGGACUCUUAUGUCGGAAACCAUUCGAACAUCCACUAAACUUGUUCCUCGG